RNAcentral lists this ribosomal RNA (305 nucleotides) under uncultured bacterium. RNAcentral describes it as "bacterial SSU rRNA". It matches the Rfam family "Bacterial small subunit ribosomal RNA", at positions 338 to 659 of the family's 1533-position model. The record is from RNAcentral.
CCUACGGGGGGCAGCAGUGGGGGAUAUUGCACAAUGGGGGGAACCCUGAUGCAGCGACGCCGCGUGGGUGAAGAAGUAUUUCGGUAUGUAAAGCCCUAUCGGCAGGGAAGAAAUUGGACGGUACCUGACUAAGAAGCCCUGGCUAACUACGUGCCAGCAGCCGCGGUAAUACGUAGGGGGCAAGCGUUAUCCGGAUUUAUUGGGUGUAAAGGGUGCGUAGACGGAGAAACAAGUUGGUUGUGAAAUCCCUCGGCUCAACUGAGGAACUGCAACCAAAACUAUUUCCCUUGAGUGUCGGAGAGGAA